RNAcentral lists this ribosomal RNA (253 nucleotides) under uncultured bacterium. Its description in RNAcentral is "partial 16S ribosomal RNA". It matches the Rfam family "Bacterial small subunit ribosomal RNA", at positions 524 to 776 of the family's 1533-position model. The record is from RNAcentral.
UACGAAGGGGGCUAGCGUUGCUCGGAAUUACUGGGCGUAAAGGGAGCGUAGGCGGAUAGUUUAGUCAGAGGUGAAAGCCCAGGGCUCAACCUUGGAAUUGCAUUCGAGACUGAAUAGCUAGGGUACGGUAGAGGGAAGCGGAAUUUCCGGUGUAGCGGUGAAAUGCGUAGAUAUCGGAAGGAACAUCAGUGGCGAAAGCGGCUUCCUGGACCAGUACCGACGUUCAGGCACGAAAGCGUGGGGAGCAAACAGG